UCUCCCGUGAGGGAGCAGUCUCGUGUGACACUUGUAACACACAACGAGGGUUGCGUUCGUUUCCCCACUUAAGGGAACAGCUCAAGCCACGAACUGACGACGGCCAUGCAUCACCUGCCAUACACCCUCGAAGGCUACCUAGGUUUCCCUAAGUAUGCAGUAUGGUUUCUAGCCUUGGUAAGGUUUUUCGCUUAACGACGAAUUAAGCCCCAUGAUCCACCGCUUGUGCGAGCCCCCGUCUAUUCCUUUGAGUUUUAAUCUUGCGAUCGUACUACCCAGGCGGUCCGCUUAAUGCGUUAGCUACGCCACAGAGAGGGUCGAUACUCCCCAUAGCUAGCGGACAGCGUUUAGGGCGUGGACUAC
RNAcentral lists this unclassified non-coding RNA (363 nucleotides) under uncultured bacterium. Its description in RNAcentral is "contains 16S-23S intergenic spacer region". The record is from RNAcentral.